Molecule: long non-coding RNA, 279 nt
Filed under: Homo sapiens (human)
Lineage: Eukaryota; Metazoa; Chordata; Mammalia; Primates; Hominidae
Description: non-protein coding lnc-GATA3-15:1
Source: RNAcentral
GUGUUCUAUCUGGAGGAAUAUGCGAUGGACAAGAUCUUUGGCCAAACCAUAAUUCCAGAAAUGGAGUGGAUGAGCCAGGCCCUGCUGAUGGUGGACCCAGUGGACUCCAGGAACCUAGUCGAAAUCACUGUUUUUGGAUGACCCUGUGUACAGAAUUGGGUAAAGAGCUUGCUCCCAUGCCUGGCAUGGUUUCACCAAAAACAUCAUGCCUGAACUGUGAAGAAAAAACACCUUGAGAAGAAUGUGAAGGCCUGUGCUUCAGGCCCCCAUGCUCCCCAG